GACGAACGCUGGCGGCGUGCUUAACACAUGCAAGUCGAGCGGUAAGGCCUCUUCGGGGGUACACGAGCGGCGAACGGGUGAGUAACACGUGGGUGACCUUCCCUCAGCUCUGGGAUAAGCCUGGGAAACUGGGUCUACUACCGGAUAUGACCUUUCCUCGCAUGGGGUUUGGUGGAAAGUUUUUUCGGCUGGGGAUGGGCCCGCGGCCCAUCAGCUUGUUGGUGGGGUGAUGGCCUACCAAGGCGACGACGGGUAGCCGGCCUGAGGGGGCGACCGGCCACACUGGGACGGAGACACGGCUCAGACACCUACGGGAGGCAGCAGUGGGGAAUAUUGCGCAAUGGGCGGAAGCCUGGCGCAGCGACGCCGCGUGGGGGAUGACGGCCUUCGGGUUGUAAACCUCAUUCGACCCCGACGAAUUUGGACGGUAGGGGUAGAAGAAGCACCGGCCAACUACGUG
Molecule: ribosomal RNA, 460 nt
Filed under: uncultured bacterium
Lineage: Bacteria
Description: partial 16S ribosomal RNA
Rfam family: Bacterial small subunit ribosomal RNA
Source: RNAcentral